This 533-nucleotide ribosomal RNA is filed under the name uncultured bacterium. RNAcentral describes it as "bacterial SSU rRNA". It matches the Rfam family "Bacterial small subunit ribosomal RNA", at positions 361 to 908 of the family's 1533-position model. The record is from RNAcentral.
AUAUUGCGCAAUGGGGGCAACCCUGACGCAGCAACGCCGCGUGAAGGAUGAAGGUUUUCGGAUUGUAAACUUCUUUUGUCGAGGACGAAGGACGUGACGGUACUUGACGAAUAAGCCACGGCUAACUACGUGCCAGCAGCCGCGGUAAUACGUAGGUGGCAAGCGUUAUCCGGAUUUACUGGGUGUAAAGGGCGAGUAGGCGGGCAUACAAGUCAGAUGUGAAAUGUGGGGGCUUAACUCCCAAGCUGCAUUUGAAACUGUAGAGCUUGAGUGAAGUAGAGGCAGGCGGAAUUCCCCGUGUAGCGGUGAAAUGCGUAGAGAUGGGGAGGAACACCAGUGGCGAAAGCGGCCUGCUGGGCUUUAACUGACGCUGAGGCACGAAAGCGUGGGUAGCAAACAGGAUUAGAUACCCUGGUAGUCCACGCUGUAAACGAUGAUUACUAGGUGUGGGGGGUCUGACCCUUCCGUGCCGGAGUUAACACAAUAAGUAAUCCACCUGGGGAAGUACGGCCGCAAGGUUGAAACUCAAAGGA